UACGGGGGGAGGCAAGCGUUGUUCGGAUUUACUGGGCGUGAAAGGCUACGUGCGGCCAACUAAGUCGGAUGUGAAAUCCCCAGGCUUAACCUGGGAACUGCAUCCGAUACUGGAUGGCUUGAAUCCGGGAGAGGGAUGCAGAAUUCCAGGUGUAGCGGUGAAAUGCGUAGAUAUCUGGAGGAAUACCGGUGGCGAAGGCGGCAUCUUGGACCGGCAUUGACGCUGAUGAGCGAAAGCUAGGGGAGCAACGGGG
This 253-nucleotide ribosomal RNA is filed under the name uncultured bacterium. RNAcentral's name for it is "partial 16S ribosomal RNA". It matches the Rfam family "Bacterial small subunit ribosomal RNA", at positions 524 to 776 of the family's 1533-position model. The record is from RNAcentral.